CCUAGAAGCAAACACCAGUAAGAAAUCGUCCGGCCAGAAGCGGUGAGCCGUAAAGCACCCCUCGAGAGCCGGCAGCCUCGCCAUAACCACCCUGGACACCGCCACCUGAGCAAUGCGCGGUCUUGUGCCAGUAACAGAGACCACCACACUCCAGCGAAGGGCUUGUUCUUCAGCAUCAAUCUCCACACUCCUUGGGAUAAUACAGAGCUCCACCCCGGGCCGCAGGGAAGCCGCCCCCAGCGUUAGGCCAUCCACAGCAGUGGCAGCCACCUGCCGCGGCACCAAGGAAGCAGGCUUAGCCACCUGCCGCGGCACCGGCGCCGGCUGCACCACCGACGGAGCUGGGGCAGGGGGCGCCACCGGGGCAUAGGGCACCACCGGGGCAGGGGUUGGCACCACCAGUGGAGGACGUGGGCCGAGCCUGGCCAGAAGGGC
RNAcentral lists this long non-coding RNA (435 nucleotides) under Brachypodium distachyon (stiff brome). Its description in RNAcentral is "long non-coding RNA (BDIS_LNC004564)". Lineage: Eukaryota; Viridiplantae; Streptophyta; Magnoliopsida; Poales; Poaceae. The record is from RNAcentral.